Long non-coding RNA from Mytilus trossulus (common blue mussel), 229 nucleotides. RefSeq lists it as uncharacterized. Lineage: Eukaryota; Metazoa; Mollusca; Bivalvia; Mytilida; Mytilidae. The transcript has 3 exons. The record is from RefSeq and is a predicted model, not a curated record.
ACAGCCAUGCAUAAGAAUAUAACUAAGGAAUGUUUGGUGGAGCAGUCAAAACUUCCAUGUACAAGAUGCGCUGGAAACAACAGCUGCACGAUUAAGGAAUGCAAAGAAUUAUUGUCUGUUUUCAUAGAAGAAUUACAGAAUCGGCAUAAGCGGAGCGCUAAUGAUAUAGGUUCAUCAAACUCCGAUGAUGCUACAUCCGGUGAUUCAGAAGACGACAUAGUUAUCAAAG